ACACGUGUUAGUAAAAAAUCCAAUCAAUCCAACCCUAAAUUCACAUUAUUUAUACCCACCUACCCCCAACUCCUAUUUUCACUUCACUCGCCGCUUUUCUUUCUAUCAAAUUACUCCCACAUUCAUGUCUCUUGCAUUUGCAUCAAAUGCAAUUUCACUCUCUUAUUCAAUCCUUCAAAUCCGUUCCAACUAUGAUAGGUAUUUUUUAUGCUUUGCUAAUUGGAUUCAAAUUAAGCCAUGGUUUCAUAUAUGGUUUUGUGUUUUCAUAAUUAUGUGUCACUAACAUGUGAUCGUUUUGUUGUUGUUUUCACAGCCAAGCCAUUGAAGAUUCUAUGAUUUGUUCCCGUGGAAUGUCUGUUGAGGAUGAUUAUGUUAUUAUAUCGGCGGUAAUUUCUUUGAUUAAACAACAUAUAAAGUCUCUGUCUUAACGGUGACGUUAAUUACUCUAGAUCUAUGAAAUCAGUUGGUUUCAUAGUUGUGUUAUUUUCUUGGAUAACAGUAAAAUCGUUAAAAUAAGAUGGUGUGAUGUUUUGAGUGAAAAUAAUGUUAUCUGUGAAGUUUCAAUAAUAUAUGCCCCAAACUUAAUUAGGCUUAGUGUACUAUUUUAUAUUUUAUAUUUGGAUGGAGGAGUUUGUAAUUUAAAAUAUAAUGAAUGAAUAAAGAUGUUUCUAUUUUGCAUUGCACCGGUUCUUGUUUGUUUUGUACUAUUAAUUUCACUAUUUUAGCGUAACGCCUAUGGAGUAAAUCGUUUAUUUUAAAUGGAUCGCCUAUGUAUAUACCAUAUUCUUGAUUAGUUGUAGUGCAAUUUAUUCAUUUUGAUAGAUGAAAUUGUAUUGCAUUUGUUGUGGAUUAUAUGUUAAUACAUAUAGUACGUAAUAGUCUUAAAAUAAAAUAAAAAAAGACACUCUAUAGUUUGUCUAAUGACUAAUGAGCAUUAUCUAAACGUGUAACCUUACAAUUUGAAUCUGGAGCAUUCAUCAUCUUAUUUCAUUUCUCAAUUAUCCCAUUUCAUGUUCAUUUUAUUUUGUACGAAGUUUUCACCACAAGUAAUUCAUCUCCGUCUAGGACAUAUCUCAUUUCAUAGUCAUAAACUUGUAUAUUAUUCCACUAAAUUAAGAAAACAUAAGUUCUUAGAGUUGUUAAAAAUUAAAACCAUCCAAAAAACAAUUAUGCAUUUUUUGAAUCAUUUUGUGUUGCGUUCGUUUCACUUCAUUUGUAUUCGUUGAAACAUUUAAUUUUGGUCAUAAACAUUGCGCUUUGGCCUUUGAAUUUAGUAGAUGAAAAUUCUGCGUUUUGGGGUUGAGUUUAAGAAAUUGGAUAAAAAUUUGAAAUUAGAAUAAAAACGCAAAAUCAUACAUAUAACGGUUCCGAGACCGAGUUUAUUAAAUUUUGAAUCUACAAAUGAAUUAUUUGUUUUUUCACAUAAAAAUAUAGAUUAACAUGUUUCUACAUAUUAAUACACAAAUUCGAUAGCUUAUACUAGUUGCAAGUGUAAUUGAGUUGUGGCUAGUAACGCAGUUUCUCAAUUUUAGCACUUUGUUGGUUACUUGAAAUAAGUCAUAAUGUUCGGUGGAGAAAAAAAUAAUUGAAUUGUGGCUAGUGAAAGACCUUAAUUUCUCCAUUUUAUCACUUUGUUGGUUACUUGAAAUAUAAACUAAACAGUGUCAGUGUCAUAAUCAGAUCAAUUAAACUGCAGCUAGAGUUUGCUUUGGGGCAUGAUUAGCAUCAACAUCAUUAUUUGUAGGUAUGCUUCAAAAAACCACAUCGUUCUAGAUACCAACUAUAAUAAUAAAUGAAAGAUUAGAUUAAAAUGGGGACAUUAAUAGAUUAUUUUUUUGUCAAGUAGUUUGUUGCUAGAAAAUCCACCAUCAAGGUGAAUAAUUAGAGUGUCUGAGGUUCGAACCUCGACUCCUAUACAUAUAAUGUGAUAUCCCUACCAAUUGAGCUAAACUCACGAAGAUAUAUUAAUAGAAAAAUAGAUACUUUAUCUGGUCUUAUAUAUAAACAAAUAUUAUUAUUUUUUGGAUUUAUUCAAUAACAUAUAGAUCUAUUUCAUAUUAUAGACAUUGAUGCAUCGAUUAUCAUUCAAUAAACUUAAAAAAUAAAUUUUGUUUAAAUAUAUAUGCUCAAUAUAUUCUUCUCAAGAUGAUUUACUAUUUCAUAUUAUAGACAUUGAUUCUAGAUCUGUUCAUGUCUCUUCAGAAAUUUACAUUCAUGUCUUUUCAGAUCUGUUCUAACUUCUAAUUAUGACUGGUGAUUUUUAUUCUUUGCUAAUUAGAUUCAAAUUAAGUCUUUUAUUUUGAUGAAUUAUAUUCAGAUCUAUGUUUAUAAUUAAUUAGUACUACUCCUUUUGGUUUGAUAUAUGGUUUUGUGUUUGAUUAAUAAUUAUGUGUCACUAACAUGUGAUUGUUUUGUUGUUGUUUUUACAGUGAAGCCGUUGAAGAUUUCUAUGAUUUGUUUCGAUGGAAUACCUGUUGAUGGUGAUUCUGUUAUUAUAUCAACUGUGGUUUCUUUGAUUAAACAACGUAUAAAGUCUUCGUCUUAAUGGUGACGUUAAUUAAUUACGUGAAGAAAACCAGACAUAGACCUAGAUUAUUAGGAAGACAUGUGUACAUCACAUGAUUUCGACUUGCUGGUAGUUUAUUUAUAUGGUUGUUCAAACAAUUAUGAAACAUUUAAUGAUAGAUGAAAACAAGGCUAAGAAUUACUAGCUGAAAAAGCUGAAAGGAAUUGCUCCGGUAUUAGUUUAGAGAAAUUGUCAAAUUGAAGAAGUCUUUGAAACUGUCCUUGCGGUUAGCGGGACAACCACUAGUGUUUUAGAGUCCAUAAAAAUAAUUAGUUGUGAUCUUUUGCUGAG
RNAcentral lists this long non-coding RNA (2857 nucleotides) under Trifolium pratense (red clover). RNAcentral's name for it is "long non-coding RNA (TPRA_LNC000538)". The record is from RNAcentral. Lineage: Eukaryota; Viridiplantae; Streptophyta; Magnoliopsida; Fabales; Fabaceae.